Molecule: long non-coding RNA, 1739 nt
Organism: Nylanderia fulva
Lineage: Eukaryota; Metazoa; Arthropoda; Insecta; Hymenoptera; Formicidae
Source: RefSeq, a predicted model, not a curated record
AAUUGUUAUUACAUCUUUUAAAUAUUGUUUUCCCAAUGUCUUCUUAUCAUCCUUAUCUGUUUCUUUCGAUGCUAUAUUUACAGAAUGACUUUCUAGAACCGUUAUCGAGGAGGAGGUUGAAGGGGCAGCAAAAUACGCAUCAACUCCGGACGGUAAGAUAUUAAUUUUCCUUCUCUUAGCAGUUGGUUCAUCAGAGACGUGUCUUGCCAAUUCGCAUGUACUUCGAUUGUCCUUUAACUUGCAAGCACUAAAAUUGAUCGCAGAUUGCGCCUUUGCUGAUUUUUCUUUCUCCUUUACACCCUCAUCCAAAUACAUAUCGAUGUUAAAACUAUUAUCAGUCUCUUUUGUUGCAACACUGUUUUGUGCUCUUUGCUUCAGAGGCAACGUCGUUUCAAAAGUAGCACCUACGGCAGGCAGCGAUAUAUCCUCGUUUCCAUAUUGUGCGCGACUUAUACCAGGUUGUGGCAGCUGCAAAAGUGUCAUAAUUUAAGAAACUAUCGACGAUCUUUCUUUAAAUUGCAUUUAAGGUCCUGUCAGAUUGUGACGUCAGAGACGAGAAAACACAAGCUAAAAAUUCUUAGAUGCCAUUUCGAAAUAAAUAAAAGAUAUUUCGAUGAAACAGCACUUCAAAUAAGAAUUUUUACCGUAUAUUUUCUCGUCUCUGACGUCAUAAUCUGACGUGGUUCCGCAGCGAGGACCCACGACUCUUUUAGGAUAAAAGAAACUUACGGUAUUUUCCGCGUUUCUGAAAAAAUCUCGCAAUUCUUUCGUGAUCAUCCCGAAGUUCGUAAACUUCUUUAUGUAGGGUCUGAGCCAGGCGGACAAUUGUUUUUUGAAAUUUGGAUUUUCGAAUCUGCAAUCGCAGAGUAUCACGGCGCCGUAAUCGUUUUUGUGUCUUAUUAUCCUGCCGAUAGCUUGAUUGACAGCACGUGACGCUUCAAGUUGAUACCAUUCUUGCCCAGUUAAACUCUGAACGCGAAAAAUUUGUUCAUUACUCUUCUUAGAGAUCAUCCAUGUUAUGAUCUUUUAAUCAAAGUUUACUACCUCUUUCUCUGUAGUCCUUAUUUCCUCCAAGUAUCUUUGCUUCAGCAUAACUCGCGGAUCCUUUAAGGGCGGAAACGGCAGACCGAUGAUUAAUACAGCCCUUCCGUUUGCAUUAGCGAAAUCCAGACCCUCGCUGACCUUUCCUCUGCACACCGCCAUAAAAACGGCCCCCUUGCAAGACGGAUCUCUAAUUUUUUGGUAACAAGCAUCAUCGAAUAAUGUCAAAAUGACGUCAUUUGCUACUUUAAUGACGUCAGUUUGCUACUUGGGUUUGUAAAUGCUUUAAAUAUAUUGUUCACCUUACGGUCGGCAAUCUGCGUCCACAAACCCAUAUUUUGCCAAUCAUCUCUGCACUUCCUCAUAAUCGGAUACGAAGGGAAAAAUAUCAACAAUCCAUGGGGAACAAUGCAACUAAAGUUGUACACUGUUCUUCCAAGAGAUGCGAUAUACUUUGGAUCAUUCCUGAUGAAUUGAGCGGAUGGUUGUCUGGACCCUGACUGAGAACACCAACGCACACUUGUUGAUUCGUUACAAUAUGUGGAUUUUCUAGCUGAACUGUUAUCGGUAUACCUAGUUCCGAUAUAAAUGGUUUCAUCGGAGACAAGGUACCACUUGUGAGGAUCACUGAACGUAUCCCCUGUUCUACCAUUUGCUCCAUUCUAAAAAAAAAAGAAAAGAUAUAACUGUAUUGUAUG